RNAcentral lists this ribosomal RNA (437 nucleotides) under uncultured bacterium. RNAcentral describes it as "partial 16S ribosomal RNA". The record is from RNAcentral.
AGAGUUUGAUCCUGGCUCAGAUUGAACGCUGGCGGCAUGCCUUGGCACAUGCAAGUUCGAACGGCAGCACGGGGAGUAAUCCUGGGUGGCGAGUGGCGAACGGGGUGAGUAAUACAUCGGAACGUGUUCCUGGUAUGUUGGGGGGGAUUGCCCCGGGCGCAAAGCCCGGGAAUUAAUUUCCCCCAUUAUCGCCCCCUAACGCGGAGAGGAAAAGGGGGGGGGGGAUUGUUAUUCUUACCUACUCUCUNGCCUACCGGGGCGGCGNGCGCAUGUGGACAAUAUUACCUAUAUUUUGGUGUGGGGGUUAGAGAGGCCCUACCCANGGGCCGAACCGAAUCUUGUUAAGCCUGGGUUCUUGGAAGAAGGGAAACGAACCCCAGGCCCCACCACCCUGGGGGGAAACCUUGAAAGAAAACACCCGGGGGCCCCCCCAAGAA